UUCUCAAAGGAUGUGCUGGCAACUUAUACUUGCAUGUUGCACAUCUUGACUAUCAUUCACCUGAUGCACAUUCUGUAGACGGAGAUAGUAAUGCUAUCUAUUGUCUAUGAUUUUUUAUACACCCUGCUUAAAUAAAAUUGUAUGUUUUUAAAAAUCAAUACAACUUUCAACAAUGGAUCUCUUGGUUCUCGCAUCGAUGAAGAACGCAGCGAAUUGCGAUAUGUAAUGUGAAUUGCAGAAUUCAGUGAAUCAUCGAAUCUUUGAACGCACAUUGCACCCUCUAGUAUUCUGGAGGGUAUGCCUGUUUGAGUGUCAUUAAUCUAUCAACCCAACAAAGAUGUAAAUCUUGUUUGGUGCUUGGAUAAUGAAGGUUGCUGGGUUAACAUCAGCUCCUUUUAAAUGCAUUAGCAGAACUUUGUAUCAGCUUUGGUUUGAUAAUAAUAUUAUCCGUGUCGUUGCUGGUAAACAAUGGUUCAGCUUCAAAUUGUCUCAGUGAUGAGACUGUCCAAUCUAUGGGCAUUAUUUUGACUUGACCUCAAAUCAGGUAGGACUACCCGCUGAACUUAAGCAUA
This 572-nucleotide ribosomal RNA is filed under the name Camarophyllopsis sp. SGT-2012. RNAcentral describes it as "eukaryotic LSU rRNA". The stretch from base 162 to 315 matches the Rfam family "5.8S ribosomal RNA". Lineage: Eukaryota; Fungi; Basidiomycota; Agaricomycetes; Agaricales; Clavariaceae. The record is from RNAcentral.